UUUAUAUAUAUAGCCUGUUAUAUAUGCUGCAAUUGCAGUUGCAAUUGAAAUUGCUGAUCGGGCAGUUCACACCCCGCCGUCGGCUCCCUUCGGAGAAGUCCAUAACUUAAAUGGCCACCAUGCAUCAAGGGAUCUUUGGCCAUAUGUCUCUUGGACAAACUUGAAAUUUUUAUUGUGGCUCGGUCGUGUGUUAAAGUUCAAAUGUGCCCCAUGCCACAUGCGUCGUUGCAGUCUCUGUUGUGUCUGUCCCUAUAUAUAUAUAUAUUUCCAGUAUAUAUAUCUUUAUAUAUGUGAAGGUAUCUCAAUCUCAUUGGGGUUUCCAGGCCCAAAACCAUAUAGUAUGCGGUAUUUAUAGGCUCUGCGGCGGGGACCUCUGUACUUUUACUUUUGUUUGCCUUUUGCCUUUGGCUCGUCGGCGAAUGUUAUAAAUUAUAUGGUUGGGGGAUUAAAUGCAUUUUUAUUGGUCUUUGACUCGACCUGCUAUAUUUAAUCCGGCUUAUUGCAGCGAAUUUAUCGUAAGUCCGAGGAUGAGUUGCCAGAGAAAGGAUUAAAAAAUGAGUUAAGUUAUAUAAAUAUACGAUCUUAGGCCCUGUAAUACAGUUUUUUAAUAAACUAUUGGAAAACUUAA
Molecule: long non-coding RNA, 628 nt
Organism: Drosophila eugracilis
Lineage: Eukaryota; Metazoa; Arthropoda; Insecta; Diptera; Drosophilidae
Exons: 2
Source: RefSeq, a predicted model, not a curated record